This 776-nucleotide ribosomal RNA is filed under the name uncultured Neocallimastigales. RNAcentral describes it as "partial large subunit ribosomal RNA". It matches the Rfam family "Eukaryotic large subunit ribosomal RNA", at positions 24 to 649 of the family's 3401-position model. Lineage: Eukaryota; Fungi; Neocallimastigomycota; Neocallimastigomycetes; Neocallimastigales. The record is from RNAcentral.
ACGACUACAUAUCAGGCAUAUCAAUAAGCGGAGGAAAAGAAACUAACAAGGAUUCCCUUAGUAACGGCGAGUGAAGCGGGAAGAGCUCAAAUUUGAAAUCUUCAAGGUUCUACCUUGACGAAUUGUAGUUUAAAGAAGUGUUUUCUGUUAGAUGAGUAGCAAAAGUUCCUUGGAAUGGGACAUCAUAGAGGGUGAGAAUCCCGUAUUUGGUUAUUCAUUCUAGCUUUGUGAUACACUUUCAAAGAGUCGGAUUGUUUGGGAAUGCAGUCCAAAAUGGGUGGUAAAUUUCAUCUAAAGCUAAAUAUUGGCGAGAGACCGAUAGCGAACAAGUACCGUGAGGGAAAGAUGAAAAGAACUUUGAAAAGAGAGUUAAACAGUACGUGAAAUUGUCAAAAGGGAAGCGUUUGACACCAGUGUUGUUUUUCCGAAAAUCAAUUACGAAUGGCUUGAUUUUGUGUUGUAUUGACCUUAUCAGCUUUCUUCACUUUUUUCGAGUCUUUCUUAAUGCACUUUUCGGUUAACAAGUCAACAUCAAUUUCUUUUGUUGUAAAAGAGUAUUCGGAAGGUGGCUUUCUUUUCGGAGAAAGUGUUUAUAGCCCUAUAGGCUUCUAGCAAUCGGAGAGAUUGAGGUCUGCAGCGUAGAUCCUUCGGGAUUAGAUACAUUUGUGCUAAGUUAUAGCUUUUCAUAGACAACUUGUUGACUAUGAUUAGUCAUGUCGCUUACUCGCUUAUGCUAUUUUACCUACGCUUAGGAUGUUGAGUAGCGACAUACGCAC